Molecule: ribosomal RNA, 447 nt
Filed under: uncultured bacterium
Lineage: Bacteria
Description: bacterial SSU rRNA
Rfam family: Bacterial small subunit ribosomal RNA
Source: RNAcentral
UCCAGACUCCUACGGGAGGCAGCAGUGGGGAAUAUUGCACAAUGGGGGAAACCCUGAUGCAGCGACGCCGCGUGAGUGAAGAAGUAUUUCGGUAUGUAAAGCUCUAUCAGCAGGGAAGAUAAUGACGGUACCUGACUAAGAAGCCCCGGCUAACUACGUGCCAGCAGCCGCGGUAAUACGUAGGGGGCAAGCGUUAUCCGGAUUUACUGGGUGUAAAGGGUGCGUAGGUGGCAGGGCAAGUCAGAUGUGAAAGCCCGGGGCUCAACCCCGGUACUGCAUUUGAAACUGUCCAGCUGGAGUGCAGGAGAGGUAAGCGGAAUUCCUAGUGUAGCGGUGAAAUGCGUAGAUAUUAGGAGGAACACCAGUGGCGAAGGCGGCUUACUGGACUGUAACUGACACUGAGGCACGAAAGCGUGGGGAGCAAACAGGAUUAGAUACCCUAGUACA